This is a long non-coding RNA of Onychomys torridus (southern grasshopper mouse), 434 nucleotides long. RefSeq lists it as uncharacterized. Lineage: Eukaryota; Metazoa; Chordata; Mammalia; Rodentia; Cricetidae. The record is from RefSeq and is a predicted model, not a curated record. The transcript has 5 exons.
CGCCACGGAGGCUAUAAAGGGAGCCGCGGGCCGCGGGUCUCGUUCUUUUCCGUCGGGAGCCGAAGGCUUUGUCUGCGUCUGUAGGGACAAUGACGCCGUCGUUUUCUGGGCCUUCAGAGCGGUUGCAAAGAGAUGCCCAGAUGGAAGGGAGAGGCCCAAACCAUCCGAGGGAAUUCAUAACAGGAAGUAACUUUCUAAAGACCUGACUCUUUCAGCUUUCAGAAGUGCUGACCAGCUACUCCAUUUUGUAGUCUAUCAGCAGUGACUGCCAACGUGUAGAGAUACCGGCUGCCUGUAAAGUUCCUAGAGCUGCUUGGAUAAUGAGUGGACAGUGGCACAAGGCUUUGCUGGCGUAUAAGAAUUGGAUGUUAUGAAUAUCCAGAAAAAGCAGACAAAAGAAGAAAAUGUACAGUAUUGAUUAGGGGGUUUUGAGA